GCAAGCUCUACCCAUUCCUCCACAAGAUCACCUUCUUCCCCUUCAUUUAUCAUUGCUCUCUCAACUCCUAAUUCCUCACCAAACUCAUUAAGUAUCACUGCUAUUUUCUUGCCAUGUUGAGUUUUCAAUAUGUAAUUGAUCAAAGUGGAUUUUCCGGAACCGAGAUAGCCGGUGAUGACGGUGACGCCAACCGGCGGAAGCUUUGAGCUCUUUGUCAGUUGAUUAGAGUUGACGGCGUCGUUGAUUUCGACGGCGAGCGGCGGUUCUUCGUCGGAAUUCUCCAUGCUCAG
RNAcentral lists this unclassified non-coding RNA (290 nucleotides) under Hevea brasiliensis (rubber tree). The record is from RNAcentral. Lineage: Eukaryota; Viridiplantae; Streptophyta; Magnoliopsida; Malpighiales; Euphorbiaceae.